GGGAAAGUUGCGAGAGGGCGGGAAAUAAUGGCCUUGGGCGCCAUUUUGUUUUUGGUCAAGAUAAGCCUAUAUAUAUAUAUAUAUAUGUAUAUGUAUAUGUAUAUGUAUAUGUAUAUGUAUAUGUAUAUAUGGCACAAACACAAACUAAAUAAAAUUAAUUCACAUAGGCAUGCUUUCAAGCUAGGAGGCCACACUGAGGCUUGGUUGCCAACUUUUCACACCAGCCCACGUUCCUCUGCCCAACAACAGGUUAAACUGCAAAUAGAGUGUUUUGUUGCUGCUGAUUAAGCGGUAUAUAAAUCUUGUCAGAUAAAAGGUACGGUGGGUGUCAUGUUCUAGCUUUUCUCUGUGCCCGUCUGUGUAAAUUACAGAUGAGGCCUGUUUUGUUUCUUACUACUAACUAGGCAAUUCACCUCAUUGUAGGACGGCCACGUUUUUCACCACCCAAACAGCAGCUUUGCGGUUGAGGUGGGGGGAGACAUUCACUGCCCUGAGCUUUUGGAGGAGGUGGAAUAUAUGUGUGCAAUUAAAUAUAUAUAUAUAUAUAUAUACAUUAUAUAUAAUAAACAAUGCUACUCCAAACCUCCAGGAAGUUUUUAAACAGAGGUUGGUUGACCAUCUGUCGAGAUUUCUUCAACUGUAGAUUCUUUCAUUGCAGGGGGUUAGACUAGAUGAACCUUGGGGUUCCCUUCUAACUCGGCUUCUUUUUCUUUAACAGAUUCUACGAAAUGUGCAAACACCCACACCUCCCCAAUAAGGCAUGACACCGACAGCAUCCCCCUACGGCUGGACGCAACAUCCCAACCACUUUGGUACCAGCACACCCCCCACUUGGGAGCACAUUUGAGGCAUGCGGCCGGAUGAGGCCCGCGGGCUGACAUGCAAAAGAAAAUUUGCUUCGGUGCGCAAAUCUGCUAGUGAGAAGGGGAGCAUUCAAGAGUUGGGUAGAUUUCCCGUUCUUCUUCCAAAGGAGGAUGUAUUCAAAGCAAGGUUUCGGUGGGGAGGGAAGUAGAAGAUUCAAACGCACAAACCACAAAUCCAUUUUUCACAGGCCUGCCCUGAAAAGCGCAUGACCUUCUAACGGUGUCACAUGCUCAAGUCCUCGUAAGCAGGCCUUGGGAGUUGCUGAGCGUCAAUCAAGUGCUUCCGUCCAUCAAGGCAACGCAAAUGGGUCACAUGAAGCCCUUCACCUUCCCCCCCCCUCGCUCUAAGCACUUGUAUAAAUUAUUUCACACACACACACACACACACACACACACACACGUCUCCUGCUUCUUUUCAGAAUUUGUUCCAUUCACUCCUCCACAAGAACAUCUUUUAAAUUCACAGACAGUGCCGGACUUACGUGUAAGCUAAACAAGCUAUAGCUUAGGGCUCCCCCUCUCUUGGGGCCCCCAAAAAAAUUUAAAGGAAAGAAACCCUGGGUGCACAUUUCCAAAAUAUAAGAUUAAAAACAACAAUAAAUAAAAUAAAACCUACAUACAGCAACAAUGUUUUUGUGUUGUGUAGGCUCCUAUGGUGUAAGUAAAGGGCCCCGCCUGCUAGACUGUUCCCUAAAAUAUCACUUUGAUAAAAUACAUAUUUUGUCAUGUGCAAAUGGCUUUAGAUACCUAUUAGGCCCAUAAAUUACCAUAUAUAUAUAUAUACAGCAUAUAUUCAACACAAAAAACAGUGACAAUUUGUUGUUGACAAAGGACAGCUGGACAUAUAAAGGGCUCCAUUAUCUUCAGUAGCUGAGGACCUCAUCAAACCUACAUCUGGCCCUGUUCACAGAGUUGUGACUUUAUUUUCCUAGUGACUGGUCCAGGUGCAAAUGGUAAACUGAAAAGAUGUAUUAUUCUUAUGACUUAUAUUCUGCUUAAAGUUUUCUAAAUGCAAAACAAAUUCUCUCUCUCCUUGUAUCCGGCACCAUACAAUGGUGUGACUGUCUAAUAAAAGGAAAAGGGGAUGAGGAGAGGAGAGGAAAAACCAGGGAACUAUGCAUGUGUUCUUAAGAAAACGACAUAAUAUAUUGUGUUCUUCAGAAAGCGACAUAAUAUAUUGUUUCAUUUACCGUAAUAACUAUGAUCACCUUUGCCAACUGACCGGGGGGGAAAUGCCUAACCUGCUCCUGUGCUUUAAACUGGAUUGCAAGGAAAGUUAGCAACUGCUCUGUUGCACGCACCUUGGAAAACUAGAGGAAGGUUUGCUGACACGUAUUUUUUUCCCUUUUCCCUUUUACAAUGUUCAAGCGGGUUAUAUAAACAUCACGAGACACACCUGGUGGAAUCAAUUCACUGGGGUCAUUACCCCAGGACCUAUUUGAAACUUACCUGCCCAUCAGGUGACAAAUUAAUUCCACUCCACACGUACGCAUGCGAUUCAUCAUCCAUCACACUCGCACCAGCUCCCUAAAAGCUGAAGGAGAGUUCAGAGGACACCUGACCCAACCUUGUUGUGUAUUCUGGAGCGGACGUUUUAAAUAAUUUUCUAUAUAUAGCUGACAGACGAAGAAUCAGAAGCUAUAUUCCACCCCCCCUUCCUUUCCCCUUUUCUGUUUUUUCCUUUUCCUAUUUUUGGUUUGUGUUUCUAUUUAGUUUUGAUAUUUGAUUAAAAAAAAAGAUACAGGAUACCUGAGAUUAAGCUUUGCCUAUUUUAUUCCAGACUUCGGUAAAACUGAUGGAAUUAUAAAAUGCAAAAUGAGAAUCCCCGGGGAGAGCAUUGCACAAACGGGGAGCCAGUGCAGAAAAGGCCUGCUCUCUCUGAACCUCUCGUGAAGGAGGCACACGAAGAAAGGCCUCGGAGGAUGAUCCGGGUUGGUUUAUAUUAUAAUAGGAUCACUUUAUUGCAUGUUAUAAUUCUGGGUGUUUCUUUGCGUCAUUGACUUUGAAGCCAUGCUAGCCGGGGCUGAUGGGAACCAUCCUGCAAAACUUCUUGCGGCGGCAAAGGGCAGCUUAGGCAAUCCUGAUCCAGAGAGGAUCAAAUGCCGGCUUUUUAUGUCAGAAGGGAACCACCCAUGUAAUGCUCCUCUGCCACACUUUUCCUGCGCAAUUUGGGGAUUAAGUGCCUGGACCUUGCUGCUGGCUUCCUCACAAAACACAGCUGGCCUCCACGGUUGUUCCAGGACGAGGGCAGAGACAUGAGUGAACCUAAAAUACAGGGUUAGGCGCUGCGAUUAAAGAGAGUAUGAGGGACUAGUAGCUGGGGAGGGCAGGGUAUAAAUAAAAUUUAUUAUUAUUAAUUACCAUAUUUUUAGCUCCAUAAGACGCACCUUUUUCCUCCUAAAAAGUAAGGGGAAAUGUCUGUGCGUCUUAUGGAGCGAAUGUGUGGUCCCUGGAGCCGAAUUGCCCAUGGGCAAAAAGCAGGUCGUGCUUUUUUUUUUUAGAAAGAGGGAAGCCGCUGAUCAGCUGAUCGGCAAGCGAUUGGGAGGAGACAUAAGGGACUCUAGCAAUAAAGGAGGCUGCCGGGGAGGGGGGAGGUAAAAACACAUGGAGCCUCAGGAUUUUUGCAUUGAGUCACCCCAAAUUCUCCAUCAGAUCACAUAGCAUGCCCAUGGCUACAGCCUGCACCAAUAAAAACACGCAUCCACUGUUUUGUGGGGCCAUAAUGGCGCAGAAACAUGGUUACAAAGCACGGAUCCACAUGGAUCCUCAGGAUUUUUGCACUGGGUCGCCCCAAAUACACCAUCAGAUCACAUAUCAUGGCUGCGGCCACAGCAUGAACCACAAAAAUCAUACAUCCACUGUUUCAUUCAGAAUCUUUUUUUUCUUGUUUUCCUCCUCUAAAAACUAGGUCCGUCUUAUGGUCACGUGCAUCUUAUGGAGCAAAAAAA
Podarcis lilfordi (Lilford's wall lizard) is the source of this 3811-nucleotide non-coding RNA. The record is from the annotation of a GenBank genome assembly. Lineage: Eukaryota; Metazoa; Chordata; Lepidosauria; Squamata; Lacertidae.